CAGCUACUGUGUGCGAUCUCGUUGGAAAGAGUUUAGUUAUUACCGCGACACGGUAUCCUUUACUUCCUAAACCAAAUGCCGCUCUUAGACCUGCACCACCUGCUCCUAAUAUCGCUACGUCAUAACAGUGAUCUAUUACUGGAUGGGCUGACAUUAACAUGAAAUUUUUUGCCACUUAUUCUCCAUGCUGACUUGGUCCACUGAUUGCGAGAGAAAAGAAUUAAAUUUGAUUAUAUUACGUAAAUUACAAUUUUUUUUCUUUAAUUCUUUUCUGUUUCGUUUUGUAAGUUAUGUAAUGUAUAUAUUUUUAAUUACCCUUGAUUGAAGUGGUAUAAACUUUCUUAGAUAUCGAGCUAACAUUUUCAAGGAAUACAGAAUCUUUUUUUCUGAUACAGUCUGAUAACCUUAAUUCUAUGUUGUUAUUUUCAUUUGUUAAUAUUAACAAAGAAAAUACGAGAAUUUAUUAUGUUACUCUCGAAAAAUUUUACAGACGAGAUUGAGAAAGUGAAAUAAAUGAAAAUGCGAUUUGCAAACUUAAAAUAUUAAAUAAUAAAAUAAAGUAUAAUAAUAAGAUGAUAAAAUAAUCAAGCAUAAUUUUAUUGCAUUUGUAAAAAUACAAUUUUAACUUACAAAUAAUUAAUACAGAUCGAAAUUGGCAUAGUACUCCGACAUACAGACUGCUUAUUUUAUAUUAUUUUAUAAUAAAAUUAUAAGGGGACACGCGUAUGUUCCUCCUUCUUCUAUAAACUUAUUUAAAUCUGAAUUAAAAUCCAAAAUUAAAAUGCAAUACUUCCUGAGAUAAUAAUAAAGGACACUUGAAUAUAUAAGUUACAUAUGUAUAUUACAAGUAUCGUUUUGACAAGAAGUUUAAUUAAUUAUUGCAUUUGUUUGUAAUAUUCGUAAUUAACGAUUCAUCAUCGACUCUAAGGAAAAGAAAAAAAAUCUUCUUUUCCAACACUGAAUGUAAAAAAGAAAAAAAAAAAAAAAUAAAUAAA
Long non-coding RNA from Vespa crabro (European hornet), 995 nucleotides. RefSeq lists it as uncharacterized. The record is from RefSeq and is a predicted model, not a curated record. Lineage: Eukaryota; Metazoa; Arthropoda; Insecta; Hymenoptera; Vespidae. The transcript is spliced from 2 exons.